UACAUAUCAAUAAGCGGAGGAAAAGAAACUAACAAGGAUUCCCCUAGUAACUGCGAGUGAAGCGGGAAAAGCUCAAAUUUGAAAUCUGGCAGUCCUUUGGCUGUCCGAGUUGUAAUCUAGAGAAGUGUUACCCGCGUUGGACCGUGUAUAAGUCUCCUGGAAUGGAGCGUCAUAGAGGGUGAGAAUCCCGUCUUUGACACGGACUGCCAAGGCCUUUGUGGUGCGCUCUCAAAGAGUCGAGUUGUUUGGGAAUGCAGCUCAAAAUGGGUGGUAAAUGCCAUCUAAAGCUAAAUACAGGCGAGAGACCGAUAGCGAACAAGUACCGUGAGGGAAAGAUGAAAAGAACUUUGGAAAGAGAGUUAAACAGUACGUGAAAUUGCUGAAAGGGAAACGCUUGAAGUCAGUCGCAUUGGCUGGGAAUCAACCUUGCUCUUGCUGGGUGUACUUUCUGGUCGAUGGGUCAGCAUCAAUUUUGAUCACUGGAUAAAGUCAUUGGGAAUGUGGCAUCUUCGGAUGUGUUAUAGCCUUUUGUCGCAUACAGUGGUUGGGAUUGAGGAACUCAGCACGCCGCAAGGCCGGGUUUCGACCACGUUCGUGCUUAGGAUGCUGGCAUAAUGGCUUUAAUCGACCCGUCUUGAAACACGGACCAAGGAGUCUAACAUGCCUGCGAGUGUUUGGGUGGAAAACCCGAGCGCGUAAUGAAAGUGAAAGUUGAGAUCCCUGUCGUGGGGAGCAUCGACGCCCGGACCAGACCUGUUGUGACGGAUCCGCGGUAGAGCAUGUGUGUUGGGACCCGAAAGAUGGUGAACUAUGCCUGAAUAGGGUGAAGCCAGAGGAAACUCUGGUGGAGGCUCGUAGCGAUUCUGACGUGCAAAUCGAUCGUCAAAUUUGGGUAUAGGGGCGAAAGACUAAUCGAACCAUCUAGUAGCUGGUUCCUGCCGAA
Molecule: ribosomal RNA, 943 nt
Filed under: Neopaxillus plumbeus
Lineage: Eukaryota; Fungi; Basidiomycota; Agaricomycetes; Agaricales
Description: eukaryotic LSU rRNA
Rfam family: Eukaryotic large subunit ribosomal RNA
Source: RNAcentral